AGCUCCAAGAGCAUAUAUUAAAGUUGUUGCAGUUAAAAAGCUCGUAGUUGGAUUUCUGGUACAAUGCGCCUGGCCCGCGGCUAUUUAAGCCUGUGAGUGCCGGUGUGCGUUUGCCAUCCUUCUAGAAAACGUUUCUACCCUUCACUGGGCUGGACUCGCGAUCUAGAUCUUUUACUUUGAAAAAAUUAGAGUGUUUAAAGCAGGCUUUUGCUAUGAAUACAUUAGCAUGGAAUAAUAAUCUAGGACUUCGGUUCUAUUUUGUUGGUUUCUAGUACUGAAGUAAUGAUUGAUAGGGAUAGUUGGGGGUGCUAGUAUUGGCCGGCCAGAGGUGAAAUUCUUGGAUUCGGUCAAGACUAACUUAUGCGAAAGCAUUCACCAAGGAUGUCUUCU
RNAcentral lists this ribosomal RNA (390 nucleotides) under uncultured eukaryote. RNAcentral describes it as "SSU rRNA". It matches the Rfam family "Eukaryotic small subunit ribosomal RNA", at positions 587 to 972 of the family's 1831-position model. The record is from RNAcentral.